RNAcentral lists this unclassified non-coding RNA (21 nucleotides) under Mus musculus (house mouse). Its description in RNAcentral is "oocyte_clustered_small_RNA8985". The record is from RNAcentral. Lineage: Eukaryota; Metazoa; Chordata; Mammalia; Rodentia; Muridae.
UACAGAACCCAAGACUGCCAG